Molecule: long non-coding RNA, 201 nt
Organism: Mytilus trossulus (common blue mussel)
Lineage: Eukaryota; Metazoa; Mollusca; Bivalvia; Mytilida; Mytilidae
Exons: 2
Source: RefSeq, a predicted model, not a curated record
AUUUCGAAAAUAUAGGAAAGGGUAUAAAGGGUAUAAAGGAAGUCAUUCUAGUGGAAGCCAUUCUAGUGGAGGCCAUUCCGGCGGAGGGCGCAGUGGUCAUGGCGGUAGAUACAAAAUUAACCCAUACAGGCCAUACAAAGGAUGAUAUGUUAAAAACAGAAACAGCUAAUGUGUUUUAAAAUGAUUAAAAUGAUAAAUUGA